This is a long non-coding RNA of Ictalurus punctatus (channel catfish), 796 nucleotides long. NCBI's taxonomy places the organism in Eukaryota, Metazoa, Chordata, Actinopteri, Siluriformes, Ictaluridae. The record is from Ensembl.
AGGAAGUGAAACACUAGAGCACCAUGGCGCUAUGGCAGGAUCCUCAAUGUUUGCUUUACUCUGCAUCAUUCUCAGCUCCAGCUGUGCAGUGCUCGGUCUCUGGUCACGACCAGCUGCCUCUGAAGGUGAAAAUGAGAGAAUCAUUUCAGUAAUAAAGACUGUGACCUGCACCUGCAUCCGCCUCCAGUCUCGUUCCGUGACAGAAUACUGCGCCCAAAAAUGCGGAAGCAGCAGGUCGCUAUGAGCGCCGCCGAAGAGGCCAGGAUUUGGGCGCUUCUCCGUUCGUCCCUGGAGUUGAGCAAACAGCUCGCGGAGGACAUUUCUCAGUGCAAGGCCGAGCUGCGCGCCGCGUCGUCCCUCGCGCCAUAUACCCCGUCCCCGUCGCCAAGGAGCGACGCCUUGCAACAUAGCCAGCAAAGUAACCUGAGCAUCUGGGGCUUUCCACUGCAGGGGAGGUAUACCUUGCUGCGCAGUCCAGAGGUGAAGGCUGGCCCAGAAUUUUAUGUCCAAGUCCAGCCCACAGUCCCUGAGAGCCAAGUCAAGCCCACAGACCCGGAGGUCCAAGUCCCAGUCAAGUCUCAUGUUCCUGAUGUCCAAGUCUCCCUGUUCAGCCUCCCUGGUCGGCUGUGGACGUCGCUCAGCCUCCCUGGUCGGCUGUGGACGUCGCUCAGCCUUCCUGGUCGGCUGUGGACGUCGCUCUGCCUCCCUGGUCGGCUGUGGACGUCGCUCUGCCUCCCUGGUCGGCUGUGGACGUCGCUCUGCCUCCCUGGUCGGCUGUGGACGUCGCUCUGCCUCC